UCCGGGAAGCGGUCAUUCGCUCCGGGGUCUUCGGACUCCGGAGAGGAAAGUCCGGACAUCACAGGGCAGGAUUCCCCGCGAAAGCGGGGGGAACUCGUAUCAAAGCGAGUUCACGGCUAGUGCCACAGAAAACAUACCGCCUCCUUCGGGAGGCAAGGGUGAAAAGGUGGGGUAAGAGCCCACCGCCGCAAGGGCAACCGAGCGGGCAAGGUAAACCCAAUCCGAUGCAAGACGAAAUAGGGAACUGGGCGGCCCGUCCAUCAGUUCCGGGUACGUCGCAUCCCGCUUCGGCGGGAACCGAGGUUUCCUCGGUAGAUGAAUGAAUGACUGCAGCGUUUUCGUUCGAGAAACCGCCGCAACAGAAUCCGGCUUACAGCUUCCCGGAAUCC
Molecule: RNase P RNA, 389 nt
Filed under: Opitutales bacterium
Lineage: Bacteria; Pseudomonadati; Verrucomicrobiota; Opitutia; Opitutales
Description: RNase P RNA component class A
Rfam family: Bacterial RNase P class A
About the family: Ribonuclease P (RNase P) is a ubiquitous endoribonuclease, found in archaea, bacteria and eukarya as well as chloroplasts and mitochondria.
Source: RNAcentral